CGCUGCUUUACCUGCAAGUCGACGGUAACAGGUCUUCGGAUGCUGACGAGUGGCGAACGGGUGAGUAACACAUCGGAACGUGCCUAGUAGUGGGGGAUAACUACUCGAAAGAGUAGCUAAUACCGCAUGAGAUCUAAGGAUGAAAGCAGGGGACCUUCGGGCCUUGCGCUACUAGAGCGGCUGAUGGCAGAUUAGGUAGUUGGUGGGAUAAAAGCUUACCAAGCCGACGAUCUGUAGCUGGUCUGAGAGGACGACCAGCCACACUGGGACUGAGACACGGCCCAGACUCCUACGGGAGGCAGCAGUGGGGAAUUUUGGACAAUGGGCGAAAGCCUGAUCCAGCAAUGCCGCGUGUAGGAUGAAGGCCCUCGGGUUGUAAACUACUUUUGUACGGGACGAAAAGACUCUU
This 409-nucleotide ribosomal RNA is filed under the name Comamonas sp. MYb69. RNAcentral's name for it is "bacterial SSU rRNA". It matches the Rfam family "Bacterial small subunit ribosomal RNA", at positions 43 to 458 of the family's 1533-position model. The record is from RNAcentral. Lineage: Bacteria; Pseudomonadati; Pseudomonadota; Betaproteobacteria; Burkholderiales; Comamonadaceae.